AUUACUAUAUACGGAGUAAUAGGUAUCAGGGAUUUCAAAAUUAGGGUUUUCAGUGGAAUACUAGCAGUAGUCAAUCGAAAAUGUCGAAUUCGAGUUCGAAGUGGAGGUGGGGCUGAAGGUCGAGAAGUUGCAGAUUAAGGGUAAGCUCUAAUAAGAAUUUAUCAUUACCGGAAGAGUUGUUGGAAGAGAUCCUGGUAAGGCUUCCAGUUAAAUCGCUAUUACGUUUCAGGUGCGUUCAAAAGUCAUGGUCUAUUCUUGCCCAAAACCCAACUUUCAUUGCCAAACACCUCCGCCACCAUCAAACCAAAACAAAAAAUCCAAGUAUUUUGGUCGAGAGCAGGGAUAAAAAGGAGAAUCUUAAAUACCUCUUGCAAUCUCAUCCUGAUGAAGGAGGAGGAGUCCGCAUUGUGGACUUCAAGGGGGACAACAGGGGUCGCUUGAUCACAGUUAGAGAACUGACCAACAUGUUUGCUUGCAUCAACGGCAUUAUUUGCAUUGCUGGUAUAUUCAGAGGCCACUAUGGCUUUGUCUUAUGGAAUCCAGCUAUCAGAAAAGGUGGUUCGAGUUGUCGAACAUAAGAAGAAAUCUGCGGAAAAUUCAAUCACACUACUGCAAUUCUUUUUAUGUUUACUCCCUAAGGGCUGAGUCCUGGACCCAAAUAUUUGGCACCCCUAUUCAUCAUAACAACGCUGCAUUCUUGUUGUAAUGAAAUAUACUUUAAUGGAGUUCAUCAUUGGAUCGGUUUCCUCAACAGCGAACCCGGGGAUAGUUAUGAUCAUCACAUAAUUAUGUACUUUGACAUGAGCCAUGAGGUUUUUCAAAUAAUAAGGUUUCCAGAUAUGUUUUUUCCAAAUAAAACUCUUGAUGUAUUCAAUGAUUGCCUUGCUUGUAUUGUUUAUGGUAUCAAUGAAUACAUCGAUAUAUGGGUGAUGCUUGAAUAUGGGGUCGAGGAUUCUUGGACCAAACAACUUGUUGUAGGACACCUGUUAGGAAUUCAGAGGCCACUACAACUUCUUGGGAAUGAGGAGAUUCUUCCGGUUGAUGAAAAUAAGACAUUGGUCUUGUAUAACAUUGGUUCUCAAGAAAUUAAGAUUCUUCAACG
Molecule: long non-coding RNA, 1102 nt
Organism: Quercus lobata
Lineage: Eukaryota; Viridiplantae; Streptophyta; Magnoliopsida; Fagales; Fagaceae
Exons: 2
Source: RefSeq, a predicted model, not a curated record